GUGCUUUCUUCAGUGGCAUAUAUGCUAAAAAUUGGACUAAUACAGAGAUUAGCACGGCCCCUGAGCAAGAAAGACACUCAAAUUUGUAAAGUGUUCUGUAUUUCU
Molecule: small nuclear RNA, 105 nt
Organism: Nycticebus coucang (slow loris)
Lineage: Eukaryota; Metazoa; Chordata; Mammalia; Primates; Lorisidae
Source: RefSeq, a predicted model, not a curated record